Molecule: ribosomal RNA, 1100 nt
Filed under: Microbacterium sp. M321
Lineage: Bacteria; Bacillati; Actinomycetota; Actinomycetes; Micrococcales; Microbacteriaceae
Description: bacterial SSU rRNA
Rfam family: Bacterial small subunit ribosomal RNA
Source: RNAcentral
GAUGAACGCUGGUGGCGUGCUUAACACAUGCAAGUCGAACGGUGAAGCCAAGCUUGCUUGGUGGAUCAGUGGCGAACGGGUGAGUAACACGUGAGCAACCUGCCCUGGACUCUGGGAUAAGCGCUGGAAACGGCGUCUAAUACUGGAUAUGAGGCGUGAUCGCAUGGUCAACGUCUGGAAAGAUUUUUCGGUCUGGGAUGGGCUCGCGGCCUAUCAGCUUGUUGGUGAGGUAAUGGCUCACCAAGGCGUCGACGGGUAGCCGGCCUGAGAGGGUGACCGGCCACACUGGGACUGAGACACGGCCCAGACUCCUACGGGAGGCAGCAGUGGGGAAUAUUGCACAAUGGGCGGAAGCCUGAUGCAGCAACGCCGCGUGAGGGAUGACGGCCUUCGGGUUGUAAACCUCUUUUAGCAGGGAAGAAGCGAAAGUGACCGUUCCUGCAGAAAAAGCGCCGGCUAACUACGUGCCAGCAGCCGCGGUAAUACGUAGGGCGCAAGCGUUAUCCGGAAUUAUUGGGCGUAAAGAGCUCGUAGGCGGUUUGUCGCGUCUGCUGUGAAAUCCCGAGGCUCAACCUCGGGCCUGCAGUGGGUACGGGCAGACUAGAGUGCGGUAGGGGAGAUUGGAAUUCCUGGUGUAGCGGUGGAAUGCGCAGAUAUCAGGAGGAACACCGAUGGCGAAGGCAGAUCUCUGGGCCGUAACUGACGCUGAGGAGCGAAAGGGUGGGGAGCAAACAGGCUUAGAUACCCUGGUAGUCCACCCCGUAAACGUUGGGAACUAGUUGUGGGGACCAUUCCACGGUUUCCGUGACGCAGCUAACGCAUUAAGUUCCCCGCCUGGGGAGUACGGCCGCAAGGCUAAAACUCAAAGGAAUUGACGGGGACCCGCACAAGCGGCGGAGCAUGCGGAUUAAUUCGAUGCAACGCGAAGAACCUUACCAAGGCUUGACAUACACCAGAACGGGCCAGAAAUGGUCAACUCUUUGGACACUGGUGAACAGGUGGUGCAUGGUUGUCGUCAGCUCGUGUCGUGAGAUGUUGGGUUAAGUCCCGCAACGAGCGCAACCCUCGUUCUAUGUUGCCAGCACGUAAUGGUGGGAACU